RNAcentral lists this ribosomal RNA (497 nucleotides) under uncultured bacterium. Its description in RNAcentral is "partial 16S ribosomal RNA". It matches the Rfam family "Bacterial small subunit ribosomal RNA", at positions 28 to 507 of the family's 1533-position model. The record is from RNAcentral.
GAUGAACGCUGGCGGCGUGCCUAAUACAUGCCAGUCGAGCGAACGGACGAGAAGCUUGCUUCUCUGAUGUUAGCGGCGGACGGGUGAGUAACACGUGGGUAACCUACCUAUAAGACUGGGAUAACUUCGGGAAACCGGAGCUAAUACCGGAUGAUAUUUUGAACCGCAUGGUUCAAAAGUGAAAGACGGUCUUGCUGUCACUUAUAGAUGGAUCCGCGCUGCAUUAGCUAGUUGGUAAGGUAACGGCUUACCAAGGCAACGAUGCAUAGCCGACCUGAGAGGGUGAUCGGCCACACUGGAACUGAGACACGGUCCAGACUCCUACGGGAGGCAGCAGUAGGGAAUCUUCCGCAAUGGGCGAAAGCCUGACGGAGCAACGCCGCGUGAGUGAUGAAGGUCUUCGGAUCGUAAAACUCUGUUAUUAGGGAAGAACAUAUGUGUAAGUAACUGUGCACAUCUUGACGGUACCUAAUCAGAAAGCCACGGCUAACUACGUG